Long non-coding RNA from Canis lupus familiaris (dog), 5227 nucleotides. RefSeq lists it as uncharacterized. The record is from RefSeq and is a predicted model, not a curated record. NCBI's taxonomy places the organism in Eukaryota, Metazoa, Chordata, Mammalia, Carnivora, Canidae. The transcript has 4 exons.
UGAGUGGCUGCCUGGAAGGCAGGAAGUGGCUCUGCAGGAAUUCUGAGGGAGACUUCCAGGGCGAGGGGGCCUGCCAGGUGGGCAAGCAAGAAAUAAGCGGGGCUGGAAGCCAUCAAAGGCAGAGAGGACCUUGGCUCCAGAUCCCAAGGAGCUCAGUAAGCCAGAGGCUGGAAGUCAGUCUCAAGCAGGCCAAGAAGGAGUUAAUCUCCAAGGAGAAUGAGGGCUUCUCCCAGACUGGAGGCCGAUGCCCAGCUUUGCUGCUGCCAACUCUGGGAAGAAGUCCUGGGAUCUGUAGUUUGUGUCACCACCCACCUCUGGCCUGCCUGUUUAUCAACACAGUCUUGGAGACUACAGUUCCCAGAAACCUGCAGAGGCCAGGCUUUGGGGGAAGGGGUGGGGUGUGAGGCUUGGUGGCAGCAGGAGGGAGAGGGAGGAGGUGGGGAGAGAAAACCCAAUUCACCCCCUUCCUUUUUAAUUCUUUCUCCUGGUGUGUCUGCUCCACCGCCCGAGCUAAUCCCCCAAAUCCGGUCUUCUAAGCCGCAGCUGCUUCCCUUCGCAGUGAUGAAUGGCUCGGGGAGGGAAGAUCUUCUCUGGUGAGCGUCCCCCCAGCCUGGCCUAGGGCAUGCCCCAGUUCACUUUCGCCUGCUUCUGUGGCCUCCACGGCUUCUGCAAGAUGAAGAGGAAGAAGGACGAAGUUCACAGAGAGCGGGAAACGGCAGUGUGAGCAGGACCAGGGCCCUUUCUUGGCCGCCAGCAGGUUCCAGGCCUGAGGGCACCCACUUCUGGCAGGACCUGCCCGGCCCUCCAGAGACCAAGAAGCCCUGCAGCGGCCUCAGGAGACAAACUUCUUUCCUGCCCUGAGGGCUCCGGGCACCCUGCUCAGGGGAACUCCCCGCCUCCAAGGGAUGUGCCGCCUUGAGCAGGGAGCAUUGCUCCGGGACAGGAAACUGGCUACGCAGCCAGAGGACCCGCCAGCCACCCUGGUCCCCGGGGACAUCUCGGGCAGCCCGGACAGGGUGGAAGUGUAAGACGAGCCUCCUCCAAACCCAGGAUGGAGUCUUUCCUGGGACCCCAGGGCCUGAGGCAGGAGCCUCUACAGAGCAGCAUCCCCAAGAGGGGAGUCCUUUCCUGUCCCCUCCCCGCAUUCUCCUGGUCCAGGUGCAGCCAGGCCCCAGGUGGGCAGCCUGGUCAUGAGUCAGACGGCAGAGUGGGGACAGUGAGGGACAGGCGAUGUCCUUGUGGCAGGAGGCCAGCCAUGAGUCCCCUCGGCACCUCCGCUCUUCCUUGCACACCAGUAGGCAGCUUUCCCUCCAGCCCUGGCCCCGUGGACCCUCUCCCACCAUACCUCCUUGUGGCAGCCAGAUAUGGGGGCCUGUUUCCCAGGCCCUGACUCCCCUUCUCAGGAACUGCCUUCCCGGGCCAGACUGUGCGACCCCCCUCCUGGACUAGACCGACUAGACUGUGUCCUCCCUCUAUUCUCCUGUCUUCCUGCUUCACCCACCUGCCUUUUCUUUCUCUUCUCAGAACCCAUAGAGAGGGAAAGGCUUGCAUGUUGUGCCUUUAGGGGACACUGGGCAGAAGGGGCCCUCUAGGACUUGCCUUGACUGUUCCCCUAAUCUUCUUGCCCCCCCCCCCCCCCCCGGUCUUCCAGGGUCAGUCUCAGCCCCUCUCUCAGCCUAUUUCCAGCUGGUAGGAAGCAAACAAAAACACAUUUCCUUCCUUCUUCCCUCCUCCCAUUUGCUAUAACAUACCUUCUGUCACUGUGCCUGAACCUCUCAGGAGCUAGAGGGUCCCACGGACAGCAAGGCCAGUGGCAGAGACACUUCAGGCGGAUUCUGUAGCUUUAGCAAGUCUGCCGUCUACAUCACUACAGAGCAAGUCAGCCCAGGAACGAAGUCAGAUCCCCUGCAACACCCAGGGCCAGAAUAACCUUUCUGACAGUUAACAGGUGGCCUGGGUAGAGGAGAUGAGGGUCCCUGGACAGAAGGAGGGGCUGUGUGCCCCCUUUCCUUGGAAUGUGCCUCUCUGGGCAGUCGGGAGGGCAGAAGAUGGCCUCUGCUGGUUCAUCCAGAGCCAGGGAGAGGCAAAGGCACAUUCCAUCCUGGCAACCUUUGCCUGCCCAGUUCAUGCCCCGUGCUCAGGGACAUUUCCUGAGCUUUCGGCAGGUUUGGUGGGAUCCAGGUCCUAUUUGUGAAGCCAGAGUGCAGCUUAUAAUUUCUUUCCUCCCGUCCUGCAACCCCCCUCCUUUGCCCCUACCACCCAGCCCCAGCCUUGUACACAAUCUGUUAUCUCCUUUUAUAUCCAAAGAAUUAUAAACAGAAGUCUUUCCCUCGAGGAAACAGCAAUAAAGGCCGGUGGGGUCACAAGGGAUGACCGCUUAGACAGUAGCAGCCUUGGAUGAGGCUCAGAGAUGCGCAGAAACGCUUUCAAGGGUACCUUGAUCCCGCGCAGUAGAGCCAGCCUGGAGGGCAUGUGUGUCCCUAGCGGUUCCCUGCGAGGCUGCAGCCCCAGAAAAGUUACUCUUGCAGUGGAGGAUGAAAUUGCAUCCCCCGGAGCCUCAGAGGUGUUGGGUGUUAGGUCCUGACCACAGAGGCUUACCCAGAGGAAAGGUCAGGAGGGGUGGUAAAGGAGAGUUUUGCCCCUGCGCACCUCUCAGGCCUUGGCAGGAAUUUCAGCUGCAAGGGUUUGGCACUGAGCCUGUUCAGAGAGCUUCUUGCCCGGAGGAGAGAACUCCUUUGGCUCCAAAGGGAUACUGGAUCUCUGGAGCCCCUGCUGUGGGGACACGGGAGAGGUCCCAAGGUCAAGGCAUCUCUGAGCGGAGGCCCAGCUACGCCUGUAGACAGCGGCCGUGGCCCCCAAGCCAGUGGCCCCACCUUCAUCAGGGUGAAGGGGGGGGCCGUGCUGAUGGGUGGGCGUAGGCCAGGCACGGCCCACGUUCUCUGUCCCUCCGCUUCCUCCUCAGGGAAAUGCUGACUUUGCUCCUCUCAGAAGCUCGAGAACCAGUCUGGAGACCUGUGCCCCCCUUCGGCCCCUAGGAGAGCCCAGAGGAGAGGUUUCAUUCAAAAAGGCAGAAGCAGCCCCAGUGUCCAGCCCACGCCCCCCCGGCCGCUGACUUGUAGUCCAGGCUUCUCUUCCUUCUGUUCUUUUUUUGAGGGAGAGAGGUCUGGCCACUUCAUUUCCUACCCGGCCCUGAGGCGCCCUCGCAGAGGACAGCUUGGACCAUUUUGCCCUGCCUGUUUCUAGUUCCCUCCACUCUGGGAUUUUCUCCCAAACUCCCCCUUGAGGAAGGGGCUGGGAGCCCCCAGGGGAGGCACAAGUAGAUGACUCUGGGAGGGGGCGGGCCGCUGGGUGGCACUGAGUCCUUGUGCCAGAGGCCAGAAGAGGCCAGUCCUUGGGCCAGAGGCCUCGAAGCUGUGGGAGGCCCCGCGCAUGCUGCAGGUCACUGAGUGAGGGGAUCAAGAAAUGUGAGGGGGGCUUGAGGUUCUUGUGCCUCAAAUACUGUCUGAGGGCCUGGCCCUCAGGACACCGGCCGGCUUCUUGUCUCAGGGCCAAGUCUUUUUUUUUUUUUUUUAAUGUCCUUUCCUUCUCCAUUCCCAGGGAAGGGCUUUCUGGAUGUUGCGUGUGAGUUGAUAGAAAUAUAUAGGAAGAUCGUUAUUUUUGAAAAAAAUAAAAAGAGCAAUAAUUUAACUGAAAUAUCGUGAGGCAGCACAGCAAGAUGCAAAGCGCACUGAGCUGGGAGCCAGAUCUCCUGGGUCCUAGCCCUGAUCAGACACUGAUGACGGUGUGACCUCAAGUUAAUAUCAUCACAUCUUACUUCUGGGACUCAGUCUCUUCCCUGAUAAUGUCCUCUAAGAACCCCCCUCCAGACGCCAGCACUCUGCGCCCCUGGGAAGUUGAGCCUCAGUGGGGCUCAAGGCCGAAGAAGCAGAGGGGAGGGCAGAUGGCAGCAAUAAUGGUAGAUCUAAGAAGGGGUGGGGGCAAUGAGAUGGAAAGCCAAGGCUCCCAGACCUUCUGCUGGAAUCCUGCCUCAGUGCUCUGUGCAGUUCUGCUUCUCCUGCUUCCUAUAGCCAGGGACCAGAGAGGCUGCCACAGGUGCCACUGUGCGCUCUCUCUCUCUCUCUCUCUCUCUCUCUCUCAUACACACACACACACACACACCACCCCCUGGUGUGCAGAUGGGAUCUCAGAGCACCAGGUCCCAGCCCCGGUUCUGUAACCCAGGAGCGUUCCUUGGGCCAGCAGGUGCCAAGCCCACCUCAUUCCCGGUGGUCACAGGGACAUGCCUCGAGCUGCCAGCUGCCCUUGUCUCCUGCGUGAACAUGCGUUGCACCCAGUGGUUUGGGAUGUGCCAUCUCUGGAUGGAGAACUGCAGCCCGCAGGGCCCCAGGCUCUGGCACGGCUGCCUCCCAACCUCAGCAACUUGCUUCCUCUCUCCCAGACUCUAUAGAAGGUGGUGACAAGACCCAUUUCCUCCCUACCUCACAGGAACAUGUUAUAAGGGGACUUCAUAUCAGACGUGCUGAGACGUGGCUUGUACUUUUCGAGACAAAUACUUGGUUUACAACUGUGAAGAGGGGCUUUCACCAGAGGAGGAACUCUCACUGCUGCAUUUGGUGGGCUCCUCUAGGCUGGUGCAGAAAGCCUGGUGUUCACCCUGAAGGUGGCCGCCCUGCCCAACAGGUGAUGGGGCUGACAACACCAGCAGAGCCAAGAACCGGAAUCUGUUCCCACAGAAUGAACACUUCAUCCCUCUGGCACAAAAGCAAGAGCAUGAGGUAGCUCUCACCAUCGUCCCCCCUGUUCCUAACGCAAACAGGCAAACAGCAUCGUAAGCCUCUGUGGCUAAACAAUGUAGGUGCAGGGAGGCUGGCGGUCCCUGUGAAUCCUCUUUCCCCCACGCCACACCCCCAAGUCAGUGCCAACUGCACUGGGCUGUUGUGGCCAGUCCAGCCUGGACUCCUGUAACUUCCCAUGGGAUCAGAGCCACACAUGACAAAGAGGAAACAGCAACCGUGGCUAUCCACAGGGGACCCAGGAAGUCAGGACCAUCCAGCAGGAGGAAAGAAUAAAGACCUUUAAGUCGGGCUUCUCAGGACUAUUGACAGAACAAAUGGGAAUUUUCAGGCUUACAAGGAGAGCAAGAUGCUACAAGACAGCAUAAUAUUAAGAAUAAGAAAUAUUAUAUAGUAUGUGAAUUACAUAUCAAUAAAAGUAUUUUUUGAAAGAA